Molecule: long non-coding RNA, 864 nt
Organism: Canis lupus familiaris (dog)
Lineage: Eukaryota; Metazoa; Chordata; Mammalia; Carnivora; Canidae
Exons: 2
Source: RefSeq, a predicted model, not a curated record
GUCUCUAGUAGCAUGAAGCCACACCUUCCAGAGAGUGCUACUACAAGGCAGCCUUAUUGCAAAACCGUCAGCAGUGGUGCCCUCCCAGCUGAAGAGCACAGGGGAGGUGAGCAGGCCUGCUGGAGAGCUGAGACCUCAGGCCCAUUCAUUUUUUCGUUUGCCUUCCUCAUGCAUAAAGGCCAUGUACCCCCGCCCUCAGGGGGCUCACAGACAAGAGAGGCAAAGCAUCAACAGAAACCUAGCAGGCCACCAAACGCAAGGAAAACACGGACAACCCUAAGCGGCAGAGGAAUUGAUAACGCCAACUUAGAAAUCAGAAAACGGAGGUCCACGAGGUUAGCCAUCAGACAGAUGCACAGAACAAAAGAUUCCAAGCGUGGGGGAGCACAUCAAAUGGGAAAUGAGGCAGCUCCCCCCAGGCCUCCAUCAGUCCUGCUGGGGACAAGUGACCCGGAGAGGGCUUAGAGCUCCUGUCCCUUCGGAGUUUGAACGUGAGCCACACUGAGUCCCAAUAACCCCCACCCAGCACACGAGGGCUCAGCCAAGGCUGAGGACACAGUCUCCUCAGCCACCCAGGGGUGCCAUCCCUUAUCCCGUGGAUCUUUUUAAUAAGAUUAUAAAGAGGGACAUCUGGGUGGCUCAGCGGUUAAGCACCUGCCUUCAGCUCAGAGUGUGAUCCCGGGGUCCUGGGAUCCAGUCCCACAUUGGGCUCCACGCAGGGAGCCUGCUUCUCUCUCUGCCUGUAUCUCUGUCUCUCAGUGUGUGUCUCUCUCAUGAAUAAAUAAAUAAAAUCUUUUUAAAAAAUUCUUUUAAAAAAAUAAGAUUAUACAGAUAUAAUAAGUUUUAGAAUAAACCUCUAUGAAC